This is a long non-coding RNA of Gymnogyps californianus (California condor), 371 nucleotides long. RefSeq lists it as uncharacterized. The transcript has 3 exons. The record is from RefSeq and is a predicted model, not a curated record. Lineage: Eukaryota; Metazoa; Chordata; Aves; Accipitriformes; Cathartidae.
GAAACAGCGUUCGCAGAUGUGAGGGCAGUGGCUGCGGCAGAAAGGCUUUGUCAACACCAGCAAAUCACUGUUUCUGCCUCUGCAAGGUCAGCUUCUGAAGGCAACAUGUCUGAGACCACGGCUCCGCAACCGAAUAGUCUGAAGUGACCAGAAGAUCCAUGAGGAUGGAAGUGUUCUGAAGGAGGAAGGGUGAGGUCUAUCUCAGAGAGCUCAGCCCCACAGCAGUGAGGGAGGCCGUGCUGGUGACUCCUGCAGGGACUCCUCCCAGGGAGGCUGACAUCGGGAACCAUCGCGCUGCCUCCGUUCCCAGGCAGGAUUUCAGCCCAUUAAGAGGACCGGCCCAGCUUGAAAACUCAGACAUCCAUAAAAUC